Nomascus leucogenys (northern white-cheeked gibbon) is the source of this 286-nucleotide non-coding RNA. It matches the Rfam family "Metazoan signal recognition particle RNA". Rfam says of the family: The signal recognition particle (SRP) is a universally conserved ribonucleoprotein. It is involved in the co-translational targeting of proteins to membranes. NCBI's taxonomy places the organism in Eukaryota, Metazoa, Chordata, Mammalia, Primates, Hylobatidae. The record is from Rfam.
GGACAUGGUGGCACAUGCCUGUAGUCCCAACUACUUGGGAACCUGAGGCAGGAGGAUUGCUUGAAUCCAGUUCUGGGCUAUAGUGUGUUAUGCUGAUCAGGUCGUUAGCAUCAUUAUGGUGACUUUCCAGGGAGCAAAAGACCCACAAGUUUGCCUAUGAAGGGGUGAACCGGCUUAGGUCAGAAACAGAGCAGGUCAAAAAACUCCCAUGCUGAUGAGUAGUGUAAUCACAUCUGUGAACAGCCCUGCACUCCAGCCUGGGCAACAAAGUGAGACCUUGUUUUUU